UUAAGUUCAGCGGGUAGCCCUACCUGAUUUGAGGCCAGAUCAUGAGAUAUGUGGGGUUAUCAGCCACUUAGAAGGAUGAAACGUAUUACAUCCAAAGUUGCUUAUGCUUUUAAGGUGAGCCAGUGACGGCAAACACCCAAUCCACCACCGCUCGAGCAAAAACCCAAGUGGGGUGAGGUUUCAUGACACUCAAACAGGCA
RNAcentral lists this unclassified non-coding RNA (200 nucleotides) under Vishniacozyma sp. RNAcentral describes it as "partial internal transcribed spacer 2". The record is from RNAcentral. Lineage: Eukaryota; Fungi; Basidiomycota; Tremellomycetes; Tremellales; Bulleribasidiaceae.